CCCAGGUGGGAUUAGUUAGUUGGGAGGUAAGGGUUCACCAAGGGGACGAUCCCUAGCUGGUUUGAGAGGAUGUUCAGCCCCACUGGAACUGAGACACGGUCCAGAUUCUUACGGGAGGCAGCAGUGGGGAAUAUUGCACAAUGGGCGCAAGCCUGAUGCAGCCAUGCCGCGUGUAUGAAGAAGGCCUUCGGGUUGUAAAGUACUUUCAGCAGUGAGGAAGGUGGUAGCGUUAAUAGCAUUAUCAUUUGACGUUAGCUGCAGAAGAAGCACCGGCUAACUCCGUGCCAGCAGCCGCGGUAAUACGGAGGGUGCGAGCGUUAAUCGGAAUUACUGGGCGUAAAGCGCAUGCAGGUGGUUUGUUAAGUCAGAUGUGAAAGCCCGGGGCUCAACCUCGGAAUUGCAUUUGAAACUGGCAGACUAGAGUACUGUAGAGGGGGGUAGAAUUUCAGGUGUAGCGGUGAAAUGCGUAGAGAUCUGAAGGAAUACCGGUGGCGAAGGCGGCCCCCUGGACAGAUACUGACACUCAGAUGCGAAAGCGUGGGGAGCAAACAGGAUUAGAUACCCUGGUAGUCCACGCCGUAAACGAUGUCUACUUGGAGGUUGUGGCCUUGAGCCGUGGCUUUCGGAGCUAACGCGUUAAGUAGACCGCCUGGGGAGUACGGUCGCAAGAUUAAAACUCAAAUGAAUUGACGGGGGCCCGCACAAGCGGUGGAGCAUGUGGUUUAAUUCGAUGCAACGCGAAGAACCUUACCUACUCUUGACAUCCAGAGAACUUUCCAGAGAUGGAUUGGUGCCUUCGGGAACUCUGAGACAGGUGCUGCAUGGCUGUCGUCAGCUCGUGUUGUGAAAUGUUGGGUUAAGUCCCGCAACGAGCGCAACCCUUAUCCUUGUUUGCCAGCGAGUAAUGUCGGGAACUCCAGGGAGACUGCCGGUGAUAAACCGGAGGAAGGUGGGGACGACGUCAAGUCAUCAUGGCCCUUACGAGUAGGGCUACACACGUGCUACAAUGGCGCAUACAGAGGGCGGCCAACUUGCGAAAGUGAGCGAAUCCCAAAAAGUGCGUCGUAGUCCGGAUCGGAGUCUGCAACUCGACUCCCUGAAGUCGGAAUCGCUAGUAAUCGUGGAUCAGAAUGCCACGGUGAAUACGUUCCCGGGCCUUGUACACACCGCCCGUCACACCAUGGGAGUGGGCUGCAAAAGAAGUGGGUAGUUUAACCUUCGGGAGGACGCUCACCACU
Molecule: ribosomal RNA, 1238 nt
Filed under: Vibrio tubiashii
Lineage: Bacteria; Pseudomonadati; Pseudomonadota; Gammaproteobacteria; Vibrionales; Vibrionaceae
Description: bacterial SSU rRNA
Rfam family: Bacterial small subunit ribosomal RNA
Source: RNAcentral